UACAGGAGGUGGCAAGCGUUUGUUCGGAAUUACUGGGCGUAAAGGGCGCGUAGGCGGUCUUCUAAGUCUUGUGUGAAAUCCCUCGGCUCAACUGAGGAACUGCACGGGAUACUGGAAGACUUGAGUUCGGGAGAGGGAAGCGGAAUUCCGGGUGUAGCGGUGAAAUGCGUAGAUAUCCGGAGGAACACCGGUGGCGAAGGCGGCUUCCUGGACCGAUUACUGACGCUGAUGCGCGAAAGCUAGGGGAGCAAACGGG
RNAcentral lists this ribosomal RNA (256 nucleotides) under uncultured bacterium. RNAcentral's name for it is "partial 16S ribosomal RNA". It matches the Rfam family "Bacterial small subunit ribosomal RNA", at positions 524 to 776 of the family's 1533-position model. The record is from RNAcentral.